This 253-nucleotide ribosomal RNA is filed under the name uncultured bacterium. RNAcentral describes it as "partial 16S ribosomal RNA". It matches the Rfam family "Bacterial small subunit ribosomal RNA", at positions 524 to 776 of the family's 1533-position model. The record is from RNAcentral.
CACGGGGGGAGCAAGCGUUGUUCGGAAUCACUGGGCGUAAAGAGUAUGUAGGCGGUUGGGUAAGUUUGGUGUGAAAUCUCCCGGCUUAACUGGGAGGGUGCGCUAAAGACUGCCUGGCUCGAGUGUGGGAGAGGAAAGCGGAAUUCCUGGUGUAGCGGUGAAAUGCGUAGAUAUCAGGAGGAACACCUGCGGUGUAGACGGCUUUCUGGACCAUAACUGACGCUGAGAUACGAAAGCGUGGGUAGCAAACAGG